This is a non-coding RNA of Intestinimonas butyriciproducens, 265 nucleotides long. It matches the Rfam family "Bacterial large signal recognition particle RNA". Rfam says of the family: The signal recognition particle (SRP) is a universally conserved ribonucleoprotein involved in the co-translational targeting of proteins to membranes. Archaeal SRP consists of a 7S RNA and homologues of the eukaryotic SRP19 and SRP54 proteins. Lineage: Bacteria; Bacillati; Bacillota; Clostridia; Eubacteriales. The record is from Rfam.
CCGCACUAGUUGGGGAGAUAGCGGUGCCCUGUACCUGCAACCCGCUACAGCAGGGAUGAAUCCCGGCCCCCGGAGCUGCGCUGUGUCGUCUGCCCCCGGUAAGUGGCGAUGAUAGAUCGGUCCCGCGCAACGGGAACCCGUGAACCAUGUCAGGCGGGGAACCGAGCAGCAUUAAGCGGAACCUCCCGUGUGCCGCGGGGCUGCCGUUCUUGAGUUGGCUGCCAGGGUCACGGACAUAGCGCAGUGUUCAAAGGCCGGUGUGCGG